RNAcentral lists this ribosomal RNA (440 nucleotides) under uncultured bacterium. RNAcentral's name for it is "partial 16S ribosomal RNA". It matches the Rfam family "Bacterial small subunit ribosomal RNA", at positions 338 to 795 of the family's 1533-position model. The record is from RNAcentral.
CCUACGGGAGGCAGCAGUGGGGAAUAUUGCACAAUGGGGGGAACCCUGAUGCAGCAACGCCGCGUGGGUGAAGAAGUACUCCGGUAUGUAAAGCCCUGUCAGCAGGGAAGAAAAUGACGGUACCUGACUAAGAAGCCCCGGCUAACUACGUGCCAGCAGCCGCGGUAAUACGUAGGGGGCAAGCGUUAUCCGGAUUUACUGGGUGUAAAGGGAGCGUAGACGGUAAGGCAAGUCUGGAGUGAAAGCCCGCAGCUCAACCACGGGACUGCUUUGGAAACUGGGUAGCUAGAGUGCGGGAGGGGUAAGCGGAAUUCCUAGUGUAGCGGUGAAAUGCGUAGAUAUUAGGAGGAACACCGGUGGCGAAGGCGGCUUACUGGACUGUAACUGACGUUGAGGCUCGAAGGCGUGGGGAGCAAACAGGAUUAGAUACCCGAGUAGUC